CUGCUGCCUCCCGUAGGAGUCUGGGCCGUGUCUCAGUCCCAAUGUGGCCGUUCAACCUCUCAGUCCGGCUACUGAUCGUCGACUUGGUAGGCCGUUACCCCACCAACUAUCUAAUCAGACGCGAGUCCAUCCUUAGGCGCCUCAGCUUUGGUAUAUCUACGAUGCCGUUAAUAUACUUUAUAUGGUAUUACCGUCCGUUUCCAGACGCUAUCCCUUUCCUAAGGGCAGGUUACUCACGCGUUACUCACCCGUCCGCCA
This 258-nucleotide ribosomal RNA is filed under the name uncultured bacterium. Its description in RNAcentral is "partial 16S ribosomal RNA". The record is from RNAcentral.